UUUUGCAUGACUUUUUAGAACAAUUCAUGCUUUCCCACUUCGUUUUGAUUUCUUCGGAUGAGCAUGUUAUUAAGCAAAAGAACUGUUUCCAUUUUAACAACAAAUUCCCAGACCCGACCCUCCCCACAAAACAGCCUCUUCAGAGUCAGCGGUAGUCGUUGGCUCUGCCACUAAAACAGAUCUUUGAGUAGAGCUCUAGGCACAAGAAAAGAAAUGAAAGUUCUCAUUUGUGGUCCCAACUCCUCAUUGCUAAGUCCGUCCCUGGGUCUGAGCUAAAGCUAGGCCCCUGACUGAAAUGGAAGAGACUGUAGAGGCCCAUGCAUAGUUUGGCCAUUAAUGACAUCAUAUUUGUCAAAAAGUGUGGAAUUCAGAAUUUUUCAUUCAUAAAUUUAUCUUUGUUCUGUAACUCUCUCAGUAUAAAUAAAUUCUAAGUGUCCUAAGCACUUCGGCCAGUUUUAUGGUCCCUUUAGUUCUCAGCACAAUACAUUUAGAGGAUGCUAGGUCACGAGGUGAUGUCCUUUAUUUGGGUGAAGUAACCAUGCAGGCUUUUCUAAAAGGCACAUCUGUCAGUACUAAACCACCACUGAAGGAUCGAGUAGCUGCCACAGCUGGAAGCAGUGGAGAGAACAAGAAAGCCAAACCUGUUCCGUGGGUGGAAAAAUAUCGCCCAAAAUGUGUGGAUGAAGUCGCUUUCCAGGAAGAAGUGGUUGCAGUACUGAAAAAGUCUUUAGAAGGAGCUGAUCUCCCUAAUCUCUUGUUUUAUGGGCCACCUGGAACUGGAAAAACAUCCACUAUUCUGGCAGCAGCUAGAGAGCUUUUUGGGCCUGAGUUGUUUCGAUUGAGAGUUCUUGAAUUAAAUGCAUCUGAUGAACGUGGAAUACAGGUUGUUAGAGAAAAAGUGAAGAAUUUUGCUCAAUUAACUGUGUCAGGAAGUCGUUCAGAUGGGAAGCCAUGUCCACCUUUUAAGAUUGUGAUUCUGGAUGAAGCAGAUUCUAUGACCUCGGCUGCUCAGGCAGCUUUACGACGUACUAUGGAGAAGGAGUCUAAAACCACCCGAUUCUGUCUCAUCUGUAAUUAUGUCAGUCGAAUAAUUGAACCUCUGACCUCUAGAUGUUCUAAAUUCCGCUUCAAACCACUGUCAGAUAAAAUUCAACAGCAGCGAUUACUAGACAUUGCUGAUAAAGAACAUGUCAAAAUUAGCAAUGAGGGAAUAGCUUAUCUUGUUAAAGUGUCAGAAGGAGACUUAAGAAAAGCUAUUACAUUUCUUCAAAGUGCUACUCGAUUAACAGGUGGAAAGGAGAUCACAGAGAAGGUGAUCACAGACAUUGCUGGGGUAAUACCAGCUGAGACCAUCGAUGGACUAUUUGCUGCAUGUCAGAGUGGCUCUUUUGACAAACUAGAAGGUGUGGUAAAAGUAAAAUUUAAUAGAUGAGGGCCAUGCAGCCACUCAGCUUGUGAGUCAACUUCAUGAUGUGGUUGUAGAAAACGAUAACCUUUCCGACAAACAGAAAUCUAUCAUCACAGAAAAACUUGCUGAAGUAGACAAGUGCUUAGCGGAUGGUGCUGAUGAACAUCUACAACUGAUCAGCCUCUGUGCUACUGUGAUGCAGCAGUUAACUCAGAAUUGCUGAAAUGUUCGUAAGAUGUUUAAAACUUAAAUAAAAUAACCAAAACACCUUUAAA
Prionailurus viverrinus (fishing cat) is the source of this 1683-nucleotide RNA transcript. It is a transcript of the gene named replication factor C subunit 4, with no coding region annotated. NCBI's taxonomy places the organism in Eukaryota, Metazoa, Chordata, Mammalia, Carnivora, Felidae. The transcript has 11 exons. The record is from RefSeq and is a predicted model, not a curated record.